Molecule: ribosomal RNA, 533 nt
Filed under: Enterococcus faecium
Lineage: Bacteria; Bacillati; Bacillota; Bacilli; Lactobacillales; Enterococcaceae
Description: bacterial SSU rRNA
Rfam family: Bacterial small subunit ribosomal RNA
Source: RNAcentral
UCUAGAGAUAGAGCUUCCCCUUCGGGGGCAAAGUGACAGGUGGUGCAUGGUUGUCGUCAGCUCGUGUCGUGAGAUGUUGGGUUAAGUCCCGCAACGAGCGCAACCCUUAUUGUUAGUUGCCAUCAUUCAGUUGGGCACUCUAGCAAGACUGCCGGUGACAAACCGGAGGAAGGUGGGGAUGACGUCAAAUCAUCAUGCCCCUUAUGACCUGGGCUACACACGUGCUACAAUGGGAAGUACAACGAGUUGCGAAGUCGCGAGGCUAAGCUAAUCUCUUAAAGCUUCUCUCAGUUCGGAUUGCAGGCUGCAACUCGCCUGCAUGAAGCCGGAAUCGCUAGUAAUCGCGGAUCAGCACGCCGCGGUGAAUACGUUCCCGGGCCUUGUACACACCGCCCGUCACACCACGAGAGUUUGUAACACCCGAAGUCGGUGAGGUAACCUUUUGGAGCCAGCCGCCUAAGGUGGGAUAGAUGAUUGGGGUGAAGUCGUAACAAGGUAGCCGUAUCGGAAGGUGCGGCUGGAUCACCUCCUUU